GACGAACGCUGGCGGCGUGCUUAACACAUGCAAGUCAAACGAUGAAGAAAAGACUCGAAGCUUCGGCAGAAAUUCAUUUCGGAUUAGUGGCAGACGGGUGAGUAACGCGUGAGCAACCUACCUCUUACAAAGGGAUAGCCUCGGGAAACCGGGAUUAAUACCAUAUAACAUUGCGACGAAGCAUUUCGAUGCAAUCAAAGCUACGGCGGUAAGAGAUGGGCUCGCGUCCCAUUAACCGGAUGGUGAGGUAACGGCUCACCAUAGUGACGAUGGGUAACCGGCCUGAGAGGGUGAACGGUCACACUGGAACUGAGACACGGUCCAGACUCCUACGGGAGGCAGCAGUGGGGAAUAUUGCACAAUGGAGGGAACUCUGAUGCAGCGACGCCGCGUGAGUGAUGAAGGAAUUCGUUUCGUAAAACUCUGUUCUAUGGGAAGAAAAGGACUGUACCAUAGGAGAAAGCUCCGGCUAAAUACGUG
RNAcentral lists this ribosomal RNA (480 nucleotides) under uncultured bacterium. Its description in RNAcentral is "partial 16S ribosomal RNA". It matches the Rfam family "Bacterial small subunit ribosomal RNA", at positions 28 to 507 of the family's 1533-position model. The record is from RNAcentral.